This 412-nucleotide ribosomal RNA is filed under the name uncultured microorganism. Its description in RNAcentral is "bacterial SSU rRNA". It matches the Rfam family "Archaeal small subunit ribosomal RNA", at positions 330 to 745 of the family's 1478-position model. The record is from RNAcentral.
GUGCACCAGGCGCGAAACCUUCGCAAUGCGGGAAACCGCGACGAGGGACUCCCAGUGCCUACGCUCAGCGUAGGCUGUUCCCGAGCCUAGAAAGCUCGGGGAGUAAGGGCUGGGUAAGACGGGUGCCAGCCGCCGCGGUAAUACCCGCAGCCCGAGUGGUGGCCACUAUUAUUGGGCCUAAAGCGUCCGUAGCCGGCCCGGUAAAUGCCUGGGUAAAUCGUGAGGCCUAACCUCACGAACUCCGGGUAGACUGCCGGGCUAGGGACCGGAGGAGGGAGAGGGUACUCCAGGGGUAGGGGUGAAAUCCUGUAAUCCCUGGAGGACCACCGGUGGCGAAGGCGCUCUCCUAGGACGGGUCCGACGGUGAGGGACGAAAGCCAGGGGAGCGAACCGGAUUAGAUACCCGCGUAGU